CGCCAGACUCCUACGGGAGGCAGCAGUGGGGAAUAUUGCACAAUGGGGGAAACCCUGAUGCAGCGACGCCGCGUGAGUGAAGAAGUAUUUCGGUAUGUAAAGCUCUAUCAGCAGGGAAGAAAAUGACGGUACCUGACUAAGAAGCCCCGGCUAACUACGUGCCAGCAGCCGCGGUAAUACGUAGGGGGCAAGCGUUAUCCGGAUUUACUGGGUGUAAAGGGAGCGUAGACGGCAUGGCAAGUCAGAUGUGAAAGCCCGGGGCUCAACCCCGGGACUGCAUUUGAAACUGUCAGGCUGGAGUGCAGGAGAGGUAAGUGGAAUUCCUAGUGUAGCGGUGAAAUGCGUAGAUAUUAGGAGGAACACCAGUGGCGAAGGCGGCUUACUGGACUGUAACUGACGUUGAGGCUCGAAAGCGUGGGGAGCAAACAGGAUUAGAUACCCGAGUAU
Molecule: ribosomal RNA, 447 nt
Filed under: uncultured bacterium
Lineage: Bacteria
Description: bacterial SSU rRNA
Rfam family: Bacterial small subunit ribosomal RNA
Source: RNAcentral